AUUGAACGCUGGCGGCAUGCCUUACACAUGCAAGUCGAACGGCAGCACGGGAGCAAUCCUGGUGGCGAGUGGCGAACGGGUGAGUAAUAUAUCGGAACGUGCCCAGUCGUGGGGAUAACGUAGCGAAAGCUACGCUAAUACCGCAUACGAUCUAUGGAUGAAAGCGGGGGAUCGCAAGACCUCGCGCGAUUGGAGCGGCCGAUAUCAGAUUAGGUAGUUGGUGAGGUAAAAGGCUUCACCAAAGCCGACGAUCUGUAGCUGGUCUGAGAGGACGACCAGCCACACUGGGACUGAGACACGGCCCAGACUCCUAC
This 314-nucleotide ribosomal RNA is filed under the name uncultured bacterium. Its description in RNAcentral is "bacterial SSU rRNA". It matches the Rfam family "Bacterial small subunit ribosomal RNA", at positions 30 to 342 of the family's 1533-position model. The record is from RNAcentral.